Caenorhabditis brenneri is the source of this 74-nucleotide non-coding RNA. The record is from the annotation of a GenBank genome assembly. Lineage: Eukaryota; Metazoa; Nematoda; Chromadorea; Rhabditida; Rhabditidae.
GGCAGCAUGGCGCAGUGGGUUACGCUUUUGUCUAUCAGGCAGAUGGGACCCCUGGGUUCGAACCCCCGCUGGUG